UUGAAAACUACUGAACAAAAAUAAUCUUAAGUUCCAAAUCUGUUUCUUAGAAUACUCUUUUAGAAUUUAGAAUAGUCUUUGAACAAUGAAAGGGAGGAAAGGAACAGUAUAAUAGCUCGAGGAAGUUAUAGGUAAAAUGUAAUUCAUCUGUUAGGUUUAGGCAGAUUUAAACUUGUUUGAAGGUCAAAGACAACAAGCAAGUAGAAGGGGAAUUGAGGAUGAAGGAAGUGAUGCUCUGUAAUGAGUAGAACCACAGGCAGAACACCCCUGCUGAGAGCCAUCAGGCCAUGAUGUAUUGACAUGGUCACUUGUGGAAGCCAGAAGAUCACAAAGUGGCUCCUUGGCAGAAUGGAAUCAUCCACUCAGCCCCCUCUAUGAUGAAAUGGGAACUCAAAAGAGAAGUGAUUCGCCUAAGGUCAUCCAGUUCCUGAGCAGCAAAGAAAGGACUAGAGUCCAAACCUUCAGAUUGUGAGUCUCGUGGUCUUUUCACUAGUCUGCUUCAAGAAAUGUUUAUAUAAUACAUGACUUUCCUUUUUGUCCUAUCCCUUAAAACCCAAUUCUAGCCUUAACUCCAUUAGUUGCUUACAUUUCAAAUUCUCUCCAUGGAAUUGAUUUGUUCAAGAAAUAAUCUGAAAGUAUGUCAUAGCUUCCUUCUCACAGAGGAUGGGUGAAGUCAUUCAUUUUCUUGUAAAAGCCACUGCGAACUUGGUUGAAUUCUAUUGGAGAUAGUGCACUUAGUAUUGGUACUCCCUGAAUGUUCCCCUUUUGGGGAAAGAAAAAUGGAUAGUUAACUUGUUAAAUCCUAUCAUUGCCUAAAACUGAAAAAGUUUUAAGAAUUCUUUGGUCCCU
Molecule: long non-coding RNA, 849 nt
Filed under: Monodelphis domestica (gray short-tailed opossum)
Lineage: Eukaryota; Metazoa; Chordata; Mammalia; Didelphimorphia; Didelphidae
Description: lncRNA (ENSMODG00000039061.1)
Source: RNAcentral